CCGCCGCCACCCACCACCCCCGACACUCCCGGCGCAACCGCCCUUGUUUUCACACGCCCGUCCGGAGCACCGCUCGUCGUGGGUCACUACGGGAGUUCGCGGGUGCCUCUGGGUCAGAGGAUGGAAGAAGCGAGACUGGAGUUUCUUCUCGAUGCCGUUGACAGGUGAUGAGAUUCCCCCUGCGUGAGGAGUUUGCCGACAGCCAUGAACACCCAGAUCCAGUUCCUCUGGUUUUGCUUGCCAACAGCGGGGCAACAUCGUCGGCCGCUGCUGAUUCCAGCCCUGGCUCUGGCUGUGUUCAGCAAGUCUGGCGGCGAAGGGAACGGUGAUGCCCGUGCUGGGUUCGACGGCGACCGGAUUCAUCCCCAACUAGGUCAGCACAGUCCACAGACAGAGUAAAUUCCCAAGCGCCAGGGUGGACGAAAAGGUCUAGCAACAUGAAACCAAUUCUCGUAGAAUUUCAAAGGCCGAUUAGCGACGUUUUCGCGGAGUCAAUUUUGGGAAAAUUCAGACAUGAGUUAGAUUAUUUCGUGUGUGAUUCAGUACACAUAUGUUGCAACUAAUUCAACUUAGAGUGACAUGAACCAUUUAUUUGACAUCCUUAUAUGUACGAAAACAUGUGGUCCUGAUUUGAUUAGUCACAUGCUUUUCUGCUGCAAGGCUGCUCA
Long non-coding RNA from Aegilops tauschii subsp. strangulata, 668 nucleotides. RefSeq lists it as uncharacterized. Lineage: Eukaryota; Viridiplantae; Streptophyta; Magnoliopsida; Poales; Poaceae. The record is from RefSeq and is a predicted model, not a curated record.